This 76-nucleotide transfer RNA is filed under the name Chloroflexaceae bacterium. RNAcentral's name for it is "tRNA-Gly". It matches the Rfam family "tRNA". From Rfam's summary of the family: Transfer RNA (tRNA) molecules are approximately 80 nucleotides in length. Their secondary structure includes four short double-helical elements and three loops (D, anti-codon, and T loops). Lineage: Bacteria; Bacillati; Chloroflexota; Chloroflexia; Chloroflexales; Chloroflexaceae. The record is from RNAcentral.
GCGGGAAUAGCUCAGUUGGUAGAGCGACACCUUGCCAAGGUGUAGGUCGCGAGUUCGAGUCUCGUUUCCCGCUCCA